Non-coding RNA from Byssothecium circinans, 92 nucleotides. Lineage: Eukaryota; Fungi; Ascomycota; Dothideomycetes; Pleosporales; Massarinaceae. The record is from the annotation of a GenBank genome assembly.
GGUUGUGUAGUGUAGUGGUGAUCACUCCGGAUUUUGAUCAGCAUCAAAAUCAAUAACUUCCGGCAACCCCGGUUCGAGCCCGGGCACGACCU